UCGAUUGGUGGUUGCUGCGGUUCCUAGUGUGCUGAAGGUGGUGGCUUGAGGCGUGCUUCCUCGGCAGUGAUGUGUGGCUCCGACUGCAAGUGGCUGCGGUGUUGGCGGUGUGAGACAUCUUUCGGGGCUGGCCGGAAUCUUGGAGGCGUGGAAAUGUGCAAUGCUACGAAUGAAAAUUCUGUUCGGCUUUGGUCGGACCGGCGUCAAUGGCACCCGUGGGUGUCAUUCCCCUUCCUGGAGGCGUCGCCGAGUGUAGCGCCAUUUUCCACGUUGCCUUGUAUCGGCAACCAUCUCCGGGGCGAAAGCCUUGAUUCGUAGGAUUGGCACGAUGGCGGCGUCUUCUGACGCCGUUUCUCUGUUGGGAGCUUUGUGCUGGGAGAUAAGAGGCCCUAUGUUGCGCUCCUCCGGCGUGCACCGCUGCCCAGACCGUUCUUCUCUGGCGCUAUGUACAGUCGUCGCUGGCUCUACCAAGGAAGCUGUAGUUGCUGUUCUUCGGUGAUCACCGGCGUCGGGCGAGACGCGGCGAGGCUUUCGGUUUUGGGUAGGCUCUUGUAUGUCGUAGUGUGUAGUCGUGUGUGCUUGUCCUUGUUUGUGUCGAGUGUGGAGUUGUGCUACGCUCGUUGUUCGCAGCGAGAGGUAGAUGUGGUUGUAUGGCUGUAUUUCUCUCCUUCUAUAAAGCUAAGGUACGCAAUUUGCGCACCGUCAAAAAAAACAUUCAAUGGCUAUAAAAGGUGAAUGAGACCAAAUUAUUUCUCAUCUAGAUGAGUUUUAGCAAAACUAAAAAAUUAUAAUUAGAGCAGCACCCUAGUAUUACUAUUACUAGUGGGACCCACAAUUCUAUGAAAAUAUCACUAAUUAUCUCUACUAUUAAAGACGAGUUUGGAUGUACGUUUGUGCGUCCAACUCCCCCUCCCCUGUCCACAUCGUGCAUUAACUCAAUCGAUCAUAUCAAAUCUUAUAGAAACCUCAGCAAAAUCAAAGCUUUCAUUUCUUUGAGUUACACAUACCCACAAAUCGAAUCUUAUCAAAACAUUAACGAAAUAAAAAAACUUGCAUUCUCCUAUCAAUACCAGAAUCAAAUCAAAUAUUAUCAAAAACCUCAGCCAAAUAAAACUUAACUUGUCUACCCUACAAAUACUCAAAUCAAAUCAAAUCUGACCACAAUCUAGAAUAUGAUGAGUGUAAGAUCUAUGUCGGACAUGAUUAGUGUUGAACCACUACGAUAUAGCCCUCAUUGUAACGCACGAGCAAUUAGCUAGUUAUAUUCAAUCUGGAUACUCCUUAGAGAGUCAUUUUGUUGUUGACAACAAGAAGACUAUAUUCCUCAAAUAAUGGUCAUAUCAUUUAAAAUGAGGUGAGAAAUAAUGUCAAAGGUUGAAGAUUCCCAAAAGCUUGAAGAAUGUGUGCUAAAAGAGUUUUUUGCUAAGCCAUCCGCAACUUCAUUUGCCUCCCGGUAGUAGUGUUGAUAAUAGAUUUUGCAAAGUCCAUACUUAGUUGCUUAGUCUUCAUGAUAGUCGCCACUUCUAGUCCAACAUAUGCAUCCUGUUGGAUCAAAACAUCAAUGGUAGAGGAGCAGUCUGGCUCCAAAACCAGACUAGUACACCUAAUAUUUGCCGCAAGGUAUAAGCCAUUCAUCAGGCCGAGCACAUUUCUCUCUGUCUCCAUCUCCCUCUUCCCGCGUCGUCCGACAUGGCCUAGUAGAAGAAGACCAUCCACACUAUGCUAACGCUGGAGCACCGCUUCCAAAUCUAGGAGAAGAUCCGGGCGAGACACGCAACCCGUAUCACAGCCGGCGUGCCUCUCGACUCGUCGGAGCCGGAUGAGGAGGAGGAAGAGCAGUAGAUGGUUCCAAUGGAGGUGGCGGAUCCAGAGGAGGAGAAGGUGGAGCAGCCGGAGGAGGAAUUGGCGCUGGUUGCGGGCUUCAGCACUAUCUCUAUGCUCUUUCCCGAGACUUUGUGCUCCAACACUACCCCUUCUGUGACCCUAAAGUGGCUCUUUUCCCAAUUCAGCAUGAAACCUGUUUCUUCACAUCUCUGUAAAACUUUCAUAAGAUUAUUGAGACACUUAUCAAAGGAUGUACCAUGGACAGAAAAAUUGUCCAUAAACACCUCGACAAUCUUUUCAACAAAGUCAGGGAAAAAAUUAGAAAUGCAUUUUCGAAACGACGGUGAUCCAUUACAUAGAUCAAAUGGCAUCCUAUGGUAUGCAUAUGUACCGUAUGGGCAGGUGAAGGUAGUCUUUUCUUGGUCCUCAGGUCGGAGAGGUAUAUGCGAGAAUCCAGAAUAUCCAUCAGGAAAACAAAAAUAAGAGUUAUUGGCCAAUCUCUCCAAUAUCUCAUUUGUGAACGGCAAAAUGGGUAGUGAUCCUUCUUAGUCCACUUAUUUAGUUUCCUGAAAUCAACACACAUUUCAUAUCCAAUAAUAGCCCUAGUAGGGACUAGGUCAUUAUUUUCAUUAGUUACUAAGGAAACUUUGUUGGGGAACGCGGUAAUUUCAAAAAAAAAUCCUACGAUCACGCAAGACAUAUCUAUGUGAUGCAUAACAACGAGAGGGGGAGUGUAUCUUCAUACCCUUGAAGAUCGCUAAGCGGAAGCGUUUAUCAACGUGGUUGAUGUAGUCGUACACCUUCACGAUCCGCCCCGAUCAAGUUCCGAACGUACGACACCUCCACAUUCAGCACAUGUUCAGCUCGAUAACGUCCUCGCCUUCUUGAUCCAGCAAGACGGGCGAUGUAGUAGAUGAGUUCUGGCAGCACGACGGCGUGGUGACGGUGUUGGUGAAGAACAAUCUCCGCAGGGCUUCGCCUAAGCACUACGGAAACUAUGACGUAGGAAAAACUAGAGGGGACGGGGUUGCCGGCACACGGCUUGGUGUUUCUUGAUGUGUCUUUGGUGCUAGCCCUGCCCCUCUAUUUAUAUGUUGAGCCUUGGGGUCGAAACUUGGAGUAAAAGCCUCCACAAAGUCAGUUUCACCCGAAAAGCAAGAGUCCUUCUCGGACUCCAGAGCCAGACGCCAGGGUUCCCGGCGUCUGGACCCAGACGCCAGGGACCCUGGCGUCUGGCCCCUGGACUCCGCAAAACUUCCUUUUGCGCUUUCCAAAAACCUUGUGGGCUUUCUGAGGGAGUCCUGGAUUAGGGGGUAUCCGGACGGUCGGACUAUAUACUUUGGCCGGACUGUUGGACUAUGAAGAUACAAGACUCAAGACUUCGUCCCGUGUCCGGAUGGGACUCUCCUUUGCGUGGAAGACAAGCUUGGCGACCCAGAUAUUAGAUUCCUUUCCUUGUAACCGACUCCAUGUAAACCCUAGCCCUCUCCAGUGUCUAUAUAGACCAGAGAGGUUAGUCCGUAUGAGGGCGAUCACAACAUUCAUAAUCAUCAUAGGCUAGCUUCUAGGGUUUAGCCUCUACGAUCUCGUGGUAGAUCAACUCUUGUAACACUCAUAUCAUCAAUAUCAAUCAAGCAGGAAGUAGGGUUUUACCUCCAUCGAGAGGGCCCGAACCUAGGUAAACAUUGUGUCCCUUGCCUCCUGUUACCAUUAGCCUUAGACGCACAGAUCGGGACCCCCUACCCGAGAUCCACCGGUUUUGACACCGACAUUGGUGCUUUCAUUGAGAGUUCCUCUGUGCCGUCGCUGCAAGGCUCGAUGGCCCGUCUCGUUGUCAAGGACAACAUCACCUAUGGGGGAGCUCUGGCUGUAGGUCAAACUCUCCGACUAGGUGGCUUCAUCAUGGCCGCCCAAUUGGCUGUCGCGCCAACGAUGACCUCUCGGGUCAUCAUGAAUAGCCUCCACGUCAAUUCAGAACUCGCCGAACAGAUGGAUCCAAUAGAGCUCUCCUCCCUUAACGAGCUCUUGGAUCACAUCGCCGCUUUGGGAGUCGCUACAGACUAUGACUGGAUUGGGCUUAAACCCGACCAGAGGGAUAUUAAAUCCCCGUCAGUCACCCACGAGAUAGCGGUAGUGGAGGAGCCACAUAUGGACCAUCCCUCUAUUCUGAGGACGAACUAUGUCCGGAUCACCGAGCUCUCUGAGCCGGAUACCCAUCCGCGGGAGGAAACGGCCCAAAUUCUGAGCUUAGAAUCGGGCAACGGGUCGGAGAAAUUGGGCAACAUUCUGUAACCCAAGCCGUCGAGCCCGGGAGUUCCCCUGCCCCAGGGCGUUAGAUCGGAUAAGAAUCCAGAUUCAACUACACCCACCCACCCGGACU
Molecule: long non-coding RNA, 4204 nt
Filed under: Triticum aestivum (bread wheat)
Lineage: Eukaryota; Viridiplantae; Streptophyta; Magnoliopsida; Poales; Poaceae
Description: long non-coding RNA (TAES_LNC011294)
Source: RNAcentral